GGUUCGUUAGUGUAAAGGCUAACACUCCUGAUUGUCUAUCAGGCACUACGAGUUCGAGUCUCGUACGGACCGCAA
This 75-nucleotide transfer RNA is filed under the name Niastella koreensis. RNAcentral describes it as "tRNA-Asp". It matches the Rfam family "tRNA". Rfam says of the family: Transfer RNA (tRNA) molecules are approximately 80 nucleotides in length. Their secondary structure includes four short double-helical elements and three loops (D, anti-codon, and T loops). Lineage: Bacteria; Pseudomonadati; Bacteroidota; Chitinophagia; Chitinophagales; Chitinophagaceae. RNAcentral also lists the same sequence under 1 other name. The record is from RNAcentral.